RNAcentral lists this unclassified non-coding RNA (307 nucleotides) under plant metagenome. RNAcentral describes it as "partial contains 5.8S ribosomal RNA, internal transcribed spacer 2, and large subunit ribosomal RNA". The stretch from base 1 to 105 matches the Rfam family "5.8S ribosomal RNA", at positions 50 to 154 of the family's 154-position model. The record is from RNAcentral.
GAAAUGCGAUAAGUAAUGUGAAUUGCAGAAUUCAGUGAAUCAUCGAAUCUUUGAACGCACAUUGCGCCCGCCAACACUCUGGCGGGCAUGCCUGUUCGAGCGUCAUUUCAACCCUCAGAACCCCUUGCGGGAUCUGGCGUUGGGGAUUGGCAUCCAGCCAGCCCCGAAAUCUAGUGGCGGUCCCUCCGCGACCUCCCCUGUGCAGUAGCGAUACCUCGCAGCGGGACAGCGGUCUGACCACGCCGUAAAACCCCCAACUUCUCAAGGUUGACCUCGAAUCAGGUAGGAAUACCCACUGAACUUAAGC